UACGAAGGGGGCUAGCGUUGUUCGGAAUCACUGGGCGUAAAGCGCACGUAGGCGGAUCUUUAAGUCAGGGGUGAAAUCCCGAGGCUCAACCUCGGAACUGCCUUUGAUACUGGGGAUCUCGAGUCCGGGAGAGGUGAGUGGAACUGCGAGUGUAGAGGUGAGAUUCGUAGAUAUUCGCAAGAACACCAGUGGCGAAGGCGGCUCACUGGCCCGGAACUGACGCUGAGGCGCGAAAGCGUGGGGAGCAAACAGG
Molecule: ribosomal RNA, 253 nt
Filed under: uncultured bacterium
Lineage: Bacteria
Description: partial 16S ribosomal RNA
Rfam family: Bacterial small subunit ribosomal RNA
Source: RNAcentral